AAAAGGCUUAGUAUCAUUGAUUCAUUUCGAUAUUUCUUGGUGCGUUUCCCUUCUCCGAAGCGUGCACAGCAUAUGGAUCCUGCGCGUGAGCCAGCACGGGUGCUACGGGGGAUCAAGAGGAUUGAUCAACUCGCCCAUGGAUUGAUGGACCCCAACAAGAUGAGCUACGAGGUGUCCAUGGAACCCACGGGGUGGGAGAUGCAGGACACCCACCUCGUUCUGAUGGAGGGCCAGAGCAUCGCCGGGGUGGUGCUGCGUACGACUGCGGAUCCCGGCGGCGCGGCGACGAGGACAGCCCUGGCGUGGGAGCUGGACGCUUUGCUGUUGCGCCUGGAAGCAAUGGUGGAAGGACGCUGCAGCGGCGGUGGGAUUGUGCUGGCCCUUCGCCUUUGGGAUGUCAUCUUUGAUCUCUUCUCGGCCCUCGUUCCUGUCUGA
RNAcentral lists this long non-coding RNA (435 nucleotides) under Oryza sativa Indica Group (long-grained rice). RNAcentral's name for it is "lncRNA OsZS97_11G014940". Lineage: Eukaryota; Viridiplantae; Streptophyta; Magnoliopsida; Poales; Poaceae. The record is from RNAcentral.